CCUAUUGCAAGGUGAUACAUGCAUCGAGUUGCACACGGUCAUGUGUUCAUUUGGGGCGCUCACUGCUUUGUUUUUCUUGGGUUGCAAGCCAUUCUAGCCGCACCAGAUUCCUUGUCCCCCAUUCCGUGGUGGUUAGCGAAUGCGAUGGAAACUGAUAAGCUUGAAACAACAACUGUUGUUCAGCGGAUUGUCGAGCUUCUUCCAACCGUUACAAAAAAGUUCCGCGACUGCCAGAACAACCACCGCGACACCUCGUGCUGCGAAAGAAGCUGGCGGGCGCCAUCCUCCGGUCCGCCCACACCGUCGAGCGCGAGUUCUAGAUUACGGGUUCACGAGAGUUGGGAAGCUCAGUUUUCAAACUGUGAUUAAGUCGACAUCCCACAGUUUCAAGUCAAUCUGCGAUUUGCGUAAGUGGUUCUUCUAUUGAUUGGUUCCCUAGGAGAAAGAUUGAAUCAUACUUCAAGAGAAAGAUAUAGCAACUUUUGGUACCUGAUCCAGUGUGCAAAAUGUCUCAUUAUUCUUUGGUGAUAUUUCUCUAGAGUGUACUGCAUUUGAGACAAAGUUUUGGUACUUGGAUACAUUUGAUACGUGGUAAAACUGAUGACGAAAUUUGUGCUUUGUUUCGUUGUGGGGACUUUCGCCGAAGCAUUUCCAUUUUAGCAUGGAGUUGUUUUCGGUGGCAUUAUAAAGCCUGAACAUGCGCUACUCCUAUUUUGAAUGGGAGACACAUCUGGGCAGUACUAGGGAUGGACGUAGGAUAGUGAGGUAUGUGUGAGGGAAUGGUAUGUAUUUGUCGGAACUGAUAAAGAACAUAUGGAUUCUUUUGAGAUACAUCUGGUUCAUUUGAAUGAUAACUUAAUGAAGGUUGUAUGAGGGAUGGGGGUUGUACUAACCUUGGAAGUGGGAUGCACUGUUGCAAGGGAUAAGGAGGAACUAAUGGCUUUCCAAAAUGUUAAAAUAUUCUCUCAAGUAAUAUCCUUGGGUCUAGAGGCUGCAUCCCACCUGCCUGAUAAUGACCUGUUACAUGAAUCUACUGUUUUAGACUUAUGUUUUUUCAGAUUUAUGGUUAAAUAGUUUUUAUUUUCCAUGUAAUGCAGAUAUACCAUGGCAUAUACGAUUUAUAUUAUGUCAGUUACAUGAUAUACAUCUUUUUGUGCAUAUAAGCAUGAAACGGGCCGAAAUAGUAGUGAAUCCAAUUAGAAAUCAGCGCGGACAAACAACCGAUGCGCCAGAAAGGUAGUGCAGCUUCUUAUAGUUGUGUAUUAUUUCAGUUUUUAUUUAUACUAAUUGUUUUUGGUACUUACUUCCUGAUGAUUUGUAAUUUCUUCCCCUGAAAACUUCUACUAUUCAUCUCAGUAUUAUAGAUUAUCAAAAAUAUGGCUUAAAUUGUGCAUUAUCAAAAUUAUGGCUGCUGUUCUAAGUUCUAACUACUAACUUAGAAAUACCUAAUCAUGUCAAUACCGACGAAAGAAAAAUAUUAUACAAAUACAUGUGAGCAGUUAAUUAGUAUGUUUAUCCAACUUAUGAAAUAUAUUCACGUAUAUUAAUCAUAAUCAAUUGUGCCUCGAGACCUACUAAUAUCUUCAUUUGAACUAACCUUGCAGAAGUGUUGUUGCUCAAAUUAAAUUUAUAUACCAUUUGUCUCGUUGUCAAAUGGUAGUUUGUUCAGUUAAAUUUCUCUUUUGGCAUAAAUUCAAGAACUUGCUUGUUGUGUGGCUCCAGGAGGAAAGCAUGUGAUUAUGGGUAAUUAAGGCACAUAUGAUCCGACUGUACUGUGUUUCUCUGUCUAGCAUAUUUCACGUUUUCCCAAUAUGAUUUUUUCUGUCUUUGCGCUUGAGAUUGCAACUUUGCUUUCAUAAUCAAAAUGGUAUGCAUUUUUUCAGGUUCAUCUGUUAUAGACACUGGUUCUGCUUUGCAGUCUUAAGAUUUUGAUUAUCGAGCCAUAUGAUGGGUCUUGCUAUGUUAUUUUCUGAAAGGAAAGGCUUACUAUGUUUUGGCACCCCUGCCUUGUAAGGCAUGCCCUUUAAUUUUCUGAAAAGAAAGGGUCACCAUGAUAUUAUUAGCCUUAUGUAGGUAGCAAUGAUACUGCUACUGCUACUAUUCAGCAAUAUAUUCUUGUGCAAUGCUUAUCUACAAUGUAACUUUCUGAUCUGCUUUGUCUGGUCAGCGAAGAAGGAAACCAGCA
Molecule: long non-coding RNA, 2185 nt
Organism: Lolium rigidum
Lineage: Eukaryota; Viridiplantae; Streptophyta; Magnoliopsida; Poales; Poaceae
Exons: 4
Source: RefSeq, a predicted model, not a curated record